Molecule: ribosomal RNA, 497 nt
Filed under: uncultured bacterium
Lineage: Bacteria
Description: partial 16S ribosomal RNA
Rfam family: Bacterial small subunit ribosomal RNA
Source: RNAcentral
GAUGAACGCUGGCGGCGUGCCUAAUACAUGCAAGUCGAGCGAACAGACGAGGAGCUUGCUCCUCUGACGUUAGCGGCGGACGGGUGAGUAACACGUGGAUAACCUACCUAUAAGACUGGGAUAACUUCGGGAAACCGGAGCUAAUACCGGAUAAUAUAUUGAACCGCAUGGUUCAAUAGUGAAAGACGGUUUUGCUGUCACUUAUAGAUGGAUCCGCGCCGCAUUAGCUAGUUGGUAAGGUAACGGCUUACCAAGGCAACGAUGCGUAGCCGACCUGAGAGUGGGGACGGCCACAGUGGAAGUGACACGGGGCCCAGGCUCCAGGGGGGGGCACAAGGAGGGAAUCUUCCAGAAGGGGGGAAAGUGUGAGGGAGCAACGCGGCGGGAGGAAUAAGGUUCUCGGAAUCGUAAAACUCUUUUAUAGGGGAAAAAAAAAUUUGAAAUAAACUAUCCACGUCUGAAGGUUCCCUAAUAAGAAAGCGACGGCAAACUCGGUC